AUUGAACGCUGGCGGCAUGCUUUACACAUGCAAGUCGAGCGGCAGCGCGGGGGCAACCCUGGCGGCGAGCGGCGAACGGGUGAGUAAUGCAUCGGAACGUACCCUGGAGUGGGGGAUAACGCCGCGAAAGCGGCGCUAAUACCGCAUAUGCUCUGAGGAGGAAAGUGGGGGACCGCAAGGCCUCACGCUCUGGGAGCGGCCGAUGUCCGAUUAGCUAGUUGGUGGGGUAAAGGCUUACCAAGGCGACGAUCGGUAGCUGGUCUGAGAGGACGACCAGCCACACUGGAACUGAGACACGGUCCAGACUCCUACGGGAGGCAGCAGUGGGGAAUUUUGGACAAUGGGCGUAAGCCUGAUCCAGCCAUUCCGCGUGCAGGAUGAAGGCCUCGGUGUAACUAGCUUUGUACGGUAACGAAACGGUACGUAGCC
RNAcentral lists this ribosomal RNA (429 nucleotides) under uncultured bacterium. Its description in RNAcentral is "bacterial SSU rRNA". It matches the Rfam family "Bacterial small subunit ribosomal RNA", at positions 29 to 462 of the family's 1533-position model. The record is from RNAcentral.